RNAcentral lists this ribosomal RNA (482 nucleotides) under uncultured bacterium. Its description in RNAcentral is "partial 16S ribosomal RNA". It matches the Rfam family "Bacterial small subunit ribosomal RNA", at positions 30 to 507 of the family's 1533-position model. The record is from RNAcentral.
AUUGAACGCUGGCGGCAUGCUCUACACAUGCAAGUCGAACGGUAACAGGCCGCAUGGUGCUGACGAGUGGCGAACGGGUGAGUAAUGCAUCGGAACGUGCCCAGUCGUGGGGGAUAACUACUCGAAAGAGUAGCUAAUACCGCAUACGAUCUAUGGAUGAAAGCGGGGGACCGUAAGGCCUCGCGCGAUUGGAGCGGCCGAUGUCAGAUUAGGUAGUUGGUGGGGUAAAGGCUCACCAAGCCAACGAUCUGUAGCUGGUCUGAGAGGACGACCAGCCACACUGGGACUGAGACACGGCCCAGACUCCUACGGGAGGCAGCAGUGGGGAAUUUUGGACAAUGGGCGCAAGCCUGAUCCAGCAAUGCCGCGUGCAGGAAGAAGGCCUUCGGGUUGUAAACUGCUUUUGUACGGAACGAAACGGCUCUGGUUAAUACCCGGGGCUAAUGACGGUACCGUAAGAAUAAGCACCGGCUAACUACGUG